AUUGAACGCUGGCGGCAGGCUUAACACAUGCAAGUCGAGCGAGCGGCGGACGGGUGUGUAGUGUCUGGGAAACUGCCUGAUGGGGGGGGAUAACUAGUGGAAACGGUAGAUAAUACCGCAUACCAUCAGAUGCGCCCAGAUGGGAUGAGCUAGGAGGUGGGGUAAUGGCUCACCUAGGCGACGAUCCCUAGCUGGUCUGAGAGGAUGACCAGCCACACUGGGACUGAGACACGGGCCAGACUCCUACGGGAGGCAGCAGUGGGGAAUAUUGCACAAUGGGCGCAAGCCUGAUGCAGCCAUGCCGCGUGUGUGAAGAAGGCCUUCGGGUUGUAAAGCACUUUCAGCGAGGAGGCGUUACUCGCAGAAGAAGCACCGGCUAACUCCGUGCCAGCCGCCGCGGUAAUAC
RNAcentral lists this ribosomal RNA (406 nucleotides) under uncultured bacterium. RNAcentral's name for it is "partial 16S ribosomal RNA". It matches the Rfam family "Bacterial small subunit ribosomal RNA", at positions 29 to 526 of the family's 1533-position model. The record is from RNAcentral.